AUUGAACGCUGGCGGCAGGCCUAACACAUGCAAGUCGAACGAGUGGCGGACGGGUGAGUAAUGUCUGGGAAACUGCCUGCUGGAGGGGGAUAACUACUGGAAACGGUAGCUAAUACCGCAUACCAUCGGAUUUGCCCAGAUGGGAUUAGCUGGGAGGUGGGGGAACGGCUCACCUAGGCGACGCUCCCUAGCUGGUCUGAGAGGAUGACCAGCCACACUGGAACUGAGACACGGUCCAGACUCCUAAGGGAGGCAGCAGGGGGUAAUAUUGCACAAUGGGCGCAAGCAUGAUGCAGCCAUGCCGCGUGUAUGAAGAAGGCCUUCGGGUUGUAAAGUACGUUCAGCGGGGAGGCGUUACCCGCAGAAGAAGCACCGGCUAACUCCGUGCCAGCAGCCGCGGUAAUAC
This 406-nucleotide ribosomal RNA is filed under the name uncultured bacterium. RNAcentral describes it as "partial 16S ribosomal RNA". It matches the Rfam family "Bacterial small subunit ribosomal RNA", at positions 30 to 526 of the family's 1533-position model. The record is from RNAcentral.